GACGUUGUCGUCGGGCUGUUGAUUGAAGCUGACAGACCCCCCCCCAAAAAAAGUGUUAACAAUCUGAGUGUUUUCAGUGUUUUCCAUUGGCAAAGAAAAUACUCACUUUUGACCACCCGCAGGUUCAUGAUCACUUUCUUGUCAUUGAAGAGCCCGUCGAUGUCCACCCUGCAGCAGUACGGCCCGCUGUCGGUCCGCCGCACGUGAAGGAUGUCCAAGUCCAUCUGUCCCUCCAGGACGUCUCCUGUCAAUCGCAGAAUCGCUGACCUCAGAGAUGACGCCGUUUUCAUCCGUCUGGAUGAGGAUGUUGCUGCACCACAGGGUCCCGCAGCCGCGACCCCAGCAGACCCGACUCAAGCCAAAACGCUGCACCGAGUACUCACAGGACAGGGAAGCCACGCCCCCUUCUGUCACUCUGAAACAGGAGGCCGGAACCAAACGGCCACCUGGCCAGGCCGCAAAGUUUACCAAAAUAAUGCAUGCCAAUGAGGAGGAACACGGCGGCGAAGGUCUGAGGGGUACAAUGGCAGCGAGGCAACGCCGAGGCCAUCCUGAUGUGUGUGUGGUCAUAAAUGACGCACGCCGACACACACCGACGCACACUGGUCGCGCUUCGUGAGGGUGUGUGUGUGUGUGUGUGUGUGUGUGUG
This is a non-coding RNA of Nerophis lumbriciformis (worm pipefish), 650 nucleotides long. NCBI's taxonomy places the organism in Eukaryota, Metazoa, Chordata, Actinopteri, Syngnathiformes, Syngnathidae. The record is from RefSeq and is a predicted model, not a curated record.